CAGGACCACUCCGAUCAUUGAUUCCCAUAUAUAGCACAUGCAUUCACCGUGUCUCUGCGUCGAGAUCUAGAGCUUCAACCUUAAGAUUUUCAGCUUGACAAUGGCGUCAACUGCUUCCUCUCCUAACCUUUCUAUCCGCAAAACCUUCAUCACCACACAGCAAACACCCACUUUCAAAACUGCCUUUCCCAUCUUCACUAUUAACCAAACGCCAAACACUCACCGCUCUCUCU
RNAcentral lists this unclassified non-coding RNA (233 nucleotides) under Hevea brasiliensis (rubber tree). Lineage: Eukaryota; Viridiplantae; Streptophyta; Magnoliopsida; Malpighiales; Euphorbiaceae. The record is from RNAcentral.